UUUCAGCGAGCCCAGCCAGAGCGGCCGGUCUUCCUGGUGUUCCUGGCCGUAGGUGGCCAGCAGGGCCUGGGCCUC
RNAcentral lists this antisense RNA (75 nucleotides) under Nocardia asteroides. RNAcentral's name for it is "ASpks TB sRNA". It matches the Rfam family "ASpks TB sRNA". The record is from RNAcentral. Lineage: Bacteria; Bacillati; Actinomycetota; Actinomycetes; Mycobacteriales; Nocardiaceae. RNAcentral also lists the same sequence under 1 other name.